This 477-nucleotide ribosomal RNA is filed under the name uncultured bacterium. Its description in RNAcentral is "bacterial SSU rRNA". It matches the Rfam family "Bacterial small subunit ribosomal RNA", at positions 28 to 507 of the family's 1533-position model. The record is from RNAcentral.
GAUGAACGCUAGCUACAGGCUUUAACACAUGCAAGUCGAGGGGAACGAUAUUGGGAAGCUUGCUUCCGAUAGGCGUCGACCGGCGCACGGGUGAGUAACGCGUAUCCAACCUUCCCGCAACUGGGGAAUAACCUUGCGAAAGUAAGACUAAUACCCCAUGGUCUCCACGGAUGGCAUCUGAAAUGGAGUAAAGGUUUCGGCCGGUUGCGGAUGGGGAUGCGUCCGAUUAGCUUGACGGCGGGGUAACGGCCCACCGUGGCAUCGAUCGGUAGGGGUUCUGAGAGGAAGGUCCCCCACAUUGGAACUGAGACACGGUCCAAACUCCUACGGGAGGCAGCAGUGGGGAAUAUUGGGCAAUGGGCGCAAGCCUGACCCAGCAACGCCGCGUGAAGGAAGAAGGCUUUCGGGUUGUAAACUUCUUUUGUCAGGGACGAAUAAAUGACGGUACUUGACGAAUAAGCCACGGCUAACUACGUG